CGAUGGUCUCGCUCCUUUUGCUGGAUAACUACAUUUAAGCAGCAGCGCAUAACCCAGUGGACCCGGGGUUAGUCUACUUGGAUGGUUCUUAUCAAUUUAGAGAAGUUCUGCUAUUUUUCCCUGGAUAUAGAUAUGAAAGAAAGCAAUGUGGUAGCUAUCUUCAGAUCAAGAAGUCUCAGGUCUGAGGACCAGUAUCCUGAAUGUGGCAAUGCAGAAAGAUGGUAUUACUGCUUCCAGCUGUGGGCCACCUUGCAGAGGCAGUUAACCCACAAGCCAAUACGGCAUGGGUACUUCCAGGAGCCCAGGCAUAUGACCUAAGCUUGGCCAACUAGACUCUCUACACCAGCAUUUCGGCCUUUCAGCAAGGAAAGAAGAAAUGACUAGUGGCCCACCAGAAUAUCAUUCAAGUCACCAUCGCAAGCCACACAUACAACUUUAAAUUUUCUAAUAGCUACCAAAACAAGGUGCGAAAUCCGUACCGAAUGCUAACUGCAAUGUGUGGGCCUUCUGGAAGAGAACGUGUGGGCAACAUUCAACAAA
Mirounga angustirostris (Northern elephant seal) is the source of this 540-nucleotide long non-coding RNA. RefSeq lists it as uncharacterized. The transcript has 3 exons. Lineage: Eukaryota; Metazoa; Chordata; Mammalia; Carnivora; Phocidae. The record is from RefSeq and is a predicted model, not a curated record.